UGAUUUGAAGACAUACCCUACACAAGUGGU
This 30-nucleotide non-coding RNA is filed under the name Callithrix jacchus (white-tufted-ear marmoset). RNAcentral also lists the same sequence under 2 other names. Lineage: Eukaryota; Metazoa; Chordata; Mammalia; Primates; Cebidae. The record is from RNAcentral.